GUCAGGAUUGUCGAGUGGUCUAAGGCGCUAGACUCAAAUUUUGGUCUUCGUGAGAGGGCGUGGGUUCAAAUCCCACUUUUGACA
Molecule: transfer RNA, 84 nt
Filed under: Ipomoea nil (Japanese morning glory)
Lineage: Eukaryota; Viridiplantae; Streptophyta; Magnoliopsida; Solanales; Convolvulaceae
Rfam family: tRNA
About the family: Transfer RNA (tRNA) molecules are approximately 80 nucleotides in length. Their secondary structure includes four short double-helical elements and three loops (D, anti-codon, and T loops).
Source: Rfam by way of RNAcentral